AGCCCAAAUGACUUCAGGAUUUUUAUACUGGUCAUUAGCAACAUUUGCUUUCAAGAUAGAGAAAGGAGAAAAAGAUGUUACAGUAACAAGAGACAUCGAUGGAGGGCAUCAAGUUGUUACAUUAAAGCUUCCAGCCAUUGUUAGUGCCGAUUUAAGACUGAAUGAACCCAGAUAUGCUACUUUACCAAA
Sitophilus oryzae (rice weevil) is the source of this 189-nucleotide long non-coding RNA. RefSeq lists it as uncharacterized. The transcript has 2 exons. Lineage: Eukaryota; Metazoa; Arthropoda; Insecta; Coleoptera; Curculionidae. The record is from RefSeq and is a predicted model, not a curated record.